AUUUUUCAGAAUUUAGAGGUUUUCGGUUGUUUUUGAGCUAGAAAAUAUUUCCUUCGCACUUUACUUGUUUUACUAUACGUGGAGGAAAAGUGCCGUUUUGUUUCGUUUGUUGAUGCAACAAUUCACUAUCAAGAAAGAUUAACUAUUUUUUCAAGGUAAGAUUCGUGAAACUAUUUUUACUUUGUAGAACUUUGCUAGUUGCUAGAUAUAAAAUGACUCUCGAAAAUGAGUCAAAUGACUAUAAUAUAAGUCAAAAACUCAUGCUACAAUAUAUAUACAGCAAAUAUUUCAAUAGCAGACACAUGAACCGGGAUACGGACAUAUAAAUCCUGUUUAUAAUCGUUGAAAAUUGUGGACAUGAAAUUAUGUUGUUUAAUUUUAUUGUGUUUUUUAUUGCCAGUUUUUAAUAAUUUAUAAUAAUUGUGGUUGUUCACAUGCUCACACGGUCGUACAGAUUAUAUAUUGUGUGAAUCAGGAUUAAUAUAUAGAUAAGCACAAAGACAGAGAGUGUGGGACAGAGGGAAAAAAUACCCAGGACCUGAGAGUGUUCAAAGCAGUUAGCAAAAGUUGGAUAAGCAUGACUGCUUGCCUACGAUGUGGUUUAGAGAUAAGAUAUGGUAUAACUGAAACUAUCUUUUGAGUUAUAUUUAACAAUCUCUCUCAGUAGGUUUAGCAGCAAGUGAUAGUCCAGAAACUGCACAGACUUCAUGUCCUGUGAACAAGGCUGCAUUGCAUUCCCCCACAUUGAACAAGUCUCACUGAGCUUGGACAAGCAAGUCCUACUUUUGCCAGGCUUUUUGUAGCAGUGUUUAUAUAUGGGGUUGUGUGGCAGUGGUGGCCACUUAUUGUGGGGGGGAGGGGGGGAUUUAGGUUGCCAGAUCCAUACGACCAUGUGCACUUUAUGUUGUUGGAUAUCGUAGUUCUUUAAACUUUUUUGCCUUAACCCAUGGAGCACCAUGCAGUGCUGUCCCCUUGACAAGUAAAAUUGUCUGGCAUUAGACAGAUUGUGUAAAAUAAUCUGGUGUUUGACAGAGUAAGAUUAACUAAAGUUGGGCACAUUGGGUAUGCAGAUAGUUUGAUUUAUAUUCCAUUGAGUGCCAUGAGCACUAGCUCCAAGUGACAGUAAAAUAGUCAUGCAUAACCAUGCAGAAGAUUGUCUGAUUAACCCACUGAGUGGCAGUGCUCUCCCAUAAAGUACAUCAGGGUGCAUUGCCACUUAAAGGGUUAACAUAUAUGCAAUACAUAUUAUAUUUUUGUUAAUUACUAAAGAUGUGUAAUAACAUGAUUAUGGUAUAAUAAUGAUGAUCUGUUUAAUUAAUACAGGUACCAGAAGUGAUGGCACAGGAUGCCAAAAUGGAGAAGAACAAAUUGAAGUUAUGGCACAACCCUUUUUUAUUGACAAUAAAGAGUACUACACACAGUCACAUUUAAUUUUUUAACACUACAGCACAUUAAAUCUAAAAUUUAAUGUACAUCUUUGUGUCUAAAUGUAGUAUGUCCAUGUUUGUACAAUUGUAUAGCAGGGACUGAGAGAGCAGAAAAGAAAGUUAGUUAUUAUAUUGUAUUAAAAUAUAUUCAACAACCUUUUAUCAGAUUAAUAUAACACAAGGUGAUACCCAAGUGUUUUAAUAGAUGUGAUGAAACAUGUACUGUAAGUG
Molecule: long non-coding RNA, 1658 nt
Filed under: Paramuricea clavata
Lineage: Eukaryota; Metazoa; Cnidaria; Anthozoa; Malacalcyonacea; Plexauridae
Source: RNAcentral